AAAAAAAAAAAAAAAAACAGAAAAAACAAACAAACAAAAAGAUCGAUUACGUAUUACUGAUUUGGGGGUUUAUUUUGGCCUUAGGCCGCAGCACGACUCUUCUUGGCCCUGUAGGUCCAUGGGGCUUGAAGUCCAGAUCCCAGGUGGUGCCCGGAAGGAGACUGAGGUAGACGAGAAAGGCAUUCCAGGAGGAGAGGACGGCCAAGCUAAGGGAAGCCAUCCCACAGGACAGCCUCUGGCCAGAACCGAGCUCAGGCAACCUUGUGGCAUGAAGAUCCCCCUACACAAGUGUGGCCACUGCCGGGCUUACGACCCCUCCUCUGAUUCAAGAAGAAAAUCACCAGGACUCCUGCUCGGCCGCUGGUGUGAUGAGGGGCUGAAGGCUGCUGGAGGUGGCUGGUCCUGCCUGCUCUUCCCUCUCCCACCCAAAGGACCUCUGGGGCUCCCCCAGGGCUGAGGAGGGUGGCUAGAGUGGGAGAAGGAGGGCAAAAAGGGAGACAGGGACUGAUCUGGAACACGGAGGGGAUAAGGAUAAUAACAACCGCCUUUCAACAACUCA
Molecule: non-coding RNA, 559 nt
Organism: Macaca mulatta (Rhesus monkey)
Lineage: Eukaryota; Metazoa; Chordata; Mammalia; Primates; Cercopithecidae
Source: RefSeq, a predicted model, not a curated record